This 440-nucleotide ribosomal RNA is filed under the name uncultured bacterium. RNAcentral describes it as "partial 16S ribosomal RNA". It matches the Rfam family "Bacterial small subunit ribosomal RNA", at positions 338 to 795 of the family's 1533-position model. The record is from RNAcentral.
CCUACGGGCGGCUGCAGUGGGGAAUAUUGCACAAUGGGGGAAACCCUGAUGCAGCGACGCCGCGUGAGUGAAGAAGUAAUUCGUUAUGUAAAGCUCUAUUAGCAGGGAAGAAAAUGACGGUACCUGAGUAAGAAGCCCCGGCUAACUACGUGCCAGCAGCCGCGGGAAUACGUAGGGGGCAAGCGUUAUCCGGAUUUACUGGGUGUAAAGGGAGCGUAGACGGCAGUGCAAGUCUGGAGUGAAAGGCGGGGGCUCAACCCCAGGGCUGCUCUGGAAACUGUACGGCUGGAGUGCAGGAGAGGUGAGUGGAAUUCCUAGUGUAGCGGUGAAAUGCGUAGAUAUUAGGAGGAACACCAGUGGCGAAGGCGGCUUACUGGACUGUAACUGACGUUGAGGCUCGAAAGCGUGGGGAGCAAACAGGAUUAGAUACCCCUGUAGUC